UACCGGCAAAAAACACAUACAACUUUCAUGCAUUUGAACCAAUAUCCAAAAUCAUAAGGUUCUAUGUUAUUAAAAAUUCAACAUAGAACCCUUUGCCUAAUUUGUCUCAUACAAAAAACAAAUACUUUUUUUAAGUUACAUGCAACUAUUUUGCACUAAAUUGUUCAACAUGGAACCCUAUGGCAUUGAACACCAUUUGAAUGAAACGAAAAGUUCUAUGUAUUAGUUGUUAUAUUAGUAUUAUUUUCAUUGUGAUUUUUGUGUCUCGAUUGAUGAGAAAGUUUAGGGUAGGUUAGCGUUAGGUUCGGUUAUAGUGGCUGUCCAAGAUGGAAACGGGGACACACUUAGGCCAGUUUAAUGGCCCAUUAUGAUACCACAUGAAUCUUGAGGCUUCCUCCUAAGCUCAAUGGAACCAGCUUGAGUCCCUUACGAAACGUGAGAGGCUGAUUAUACCGAUAUGAUUUAGAUCGUUAAAGAAGAAUUCUCCUAGGUAAUUCUUGCGUUUAAAACGAAGGUAAAUAUUAUUGGUUUUUUAAUGUUAAACCAUUUUUAAACAUUAAAAAGAAAAAUAGUUACUGUGCAAGUACAUUAUGUCAGAACAAGGAUCAAUAGACGAACUUUAUGAAAAGUAUUUGGACGUAAUACUCUCUUUGCCAGGUUCAUCUACGGGUUACAGGCGUCCCUCUAGCCAGAACAAUGAUAUUUCGCGUAGGUUAUUAUGAAUUUAUCAAACGAAUUGUUUGCCUUGAUUUAGAUAUUUUAGUUUAAUUAGAGACUAAUUUCAGAGAUACAAAUAAACCCUGAAAAUAUCAUUUUGUUGGAAGCCCAUGAUGCUGAAGAAAUUGAAGUUUUAGAAAGCAGUCCUUCAGUUCGGAAAAGACUGAGAAAUGAAAAAAAUUGGAAGCGGGAUCAAAUAAAAAGACUACGACAGGAAGGGAAAGCUUAUACGAAUUCCUCGAACAAAUUCGUUCCAGCUAAGCAAAUAAAACCUAUCGUCGUAACCUCCUGUCGAGAUUGCCCGUUUAUGUGCAUCAAAGAAGAAGAUCGUUGGGCAAUAUUUGAGUCGUACUAUUCUUUGGACGCAUUUUUUUAUCGAGCUUCACCGAACUUGAUGUACCUCACAUCCGGCGCAAAUGAAAAGUAACGACCAAUUCUAAGAAAUAAAUUUCUUUCAAAUACUUUUUCAACAUAAGAGAGAUUCGUUUUCGGGUAUGUGAAAAAUUUUUCUUGUCCACUUUGGAUAUUAUUCAAAGCCCAUUUAUAACGUCCAUGACCAAAAAAAUGCUGUGAGUGGGGUUCCUCGGCAAACAACACAGGGAAAACAUCAAAAAUGUCGAGUCUCCGAGCAAAAAUUCGAUUCCCUACCGUUCAAUCACACUACUGCAGACGUGAUUCUAAAAAAACAAUACAUAGACUCGAGUUUAAAUAUUCAAGCAAUGUGGAGGAUCUUCAUAGAAGAGGCCUGUUGUGAAGAGGAAGAGGCAGUUAAAAGCCACGUCUACCGCAGAAUAUUUGAACGAGAGUUCAACAUCUCUUUUUUUAAACCUAAAAAGGACAGAUGUGACCUCUGUGAGGAAUUUCAAGUCACUUCAAGUUCGAGCAACAUAAUAUUGGAAGAAUUCAAAUCAAAAUAUGAGGCACAACAAUUACAAAAACAAAAAUCGAGAGAAACUCGACAGUUGGACAGAACAUCAUCGACUCCAGUCAUAUGUUUUGAUCUUCAAAAUGUCCUUUCUUGUCCUAAGGCCGAAGUUUCAUUUUUGUACCAUUCAAAGCUAAAUAAUUAUAGUCUCACUGCCCAUCUGUCCACUAAUAAUAUGGUCUACUGCGCUUUGUGGGCGAGAAUUUAAUGGGAAGAAGUGACAAUGAUUUGGCCAGUGCCAUAAUAAAAAUUUUUGGAGCGGGUCAUUAAAGAUAACCAGCAUUUUACUCACUUGAUUCUCUGGUCCGAUUCUUGUGUUCCGCAGAACACGAACUCCAUUAUGUCAUUUGCUUUGUUAACUUUAUAAAAACGCACCCACAAAUAAUAAAAAUAACACUCCGCUUCUGUGUACCUGGCCAUUCGUGCAUACAAGAAAUCGAUUUAGUACACAGCGUGAUUGAGAGAAAUUUAAGAAGGUUCGAGUAUUACUCGCCGAAUUCUCUUAUUCGCAUAUUACCAAAAAUUACCUACAAAAGACAAAAAUUGAUUGUCAUGCAGAUGGGACCUUCGGACUUCAAAAACUAUCAGGUUUGCUCCAAAACGUUUUACUUUAAAUCAAUACCUUUCACAAAAGUAUGUGAAAUCGAAUUUUCGACUAAUAUUUUAACGGUUGGGUUUAAAACUAGUUUUUACCAAGAAAGUUAUGAUUAUAUAAAUUUAAAGUACGACAAGCCUCCAAGAAAAUCAUAUGCAAACAAAACUUUGGUUCCCGAAUUUCCAAUUCCUGAAUGAGAAAAAAGAAAGAACAAAUUGUCUGAAGCUAAAAUAAAAUUAUUUAUUGCAAUGCUUUCCUUUAUGCCAAAGGUUUGAUUUCUUCGAAAACUUAAUUUCGAAA
Molecule: long non-coding RNA, 2537 nt
Organism: Eupeodes corollae
Lineage: Eukaryota; Metazoa; Arthropoda; Insecta; Diptera; Syrphidae
Exons: 3
Source: RefSeq, a predicted model, not a curated record